This 253-nucleotide ribosomal RNA is filed under the name uncultured bacterium. RNAcentral's name for it is "partial 16S ribosomal RNA". It matches the Rfam family "Bacterial small subunit ribosomal RNA", at positions 524 to 776 of the family's 1533-position model. The record is from RNAcentral.
UACGGGGGGAGCAAGCGUUGUUCGGAUUUACUGGGCGUAAAGGGCGCGUAGGCGGCGCGACAAGUCACUUGUGAAAUCUCUGGGCUCAACCCAGAACGGUCAAGUGAUACUGUCGUGCUAGAGUGCGGAAGGGGCAACUGGAAUUCUUGGUGUAGCGGUGAAAUGCGUAGAUAUCGGGAAGAACACCUAUGGCGAAGGCAGCUCUCUGGGACGGUACUGACGCUGAGACGCGAAAGCGUGGGGAGCGAACAGG